GAUGAACGCUGGCGGCGUGCCUAAUACAUGCAAGUCGAGCGAACAGACGAGGAGCUUGCUCCUCUGACGUUAGCGGCGGACGGGUGAGUAACACGUGGAUAACCUACCUAUAGGACUGGGAUAACUUCGGGAAACCUGAGCUAAUACCGGAUAAUAUAUUGAACCGCAUGGUUCAAUAGUGAAAAACGGUUUUGCUGUCACUUAUAGAUGUAUCCGCGCCGCAUUAGCUAGUUGGUAAGGUAACGGCUUACCAAGGCAACGAUGCGUAGCCGACCUGAGAGGGUGAUCGGCCACACUGGAACUGAGACACGGUCCAGACUCCUACGGGAGGCAGCAGUAGGGAAUCUUCCGCAAAGGGCGAAAGCCUGACGGAGCAACGCCGCGUGAGUGAUGAAGGUCUUCGGAUCGUAAAACUCUGUUAUUAGGGAAGAACAAAUGUGUAAGUAACUAUGCACGUCUUGACGGUACCUAAUCAGAAAGCCACGGCUAACUACGUG
This 497-nucleotide ribosomal RNA is filed under the name uncultured bacterium. Its description in RNAcentral is "partial 16S ribosomal RNA". It matches the Rfam family "Bacterial small subunit ribosomal RNA", at positions 28 to 507 of the family's 1533-position model. The record is from RNAcentral.